CCUGAUGACCAUAGCGAGGUGGUCCCACUCCUUCCCAUCCCGAACAGGACAGUGAAACACCUUUGCGCCAAUGAUAGUGCGGAUUCCCGUGUGAAAGUAGGACAUUGUCAGGC
RNAcentral lists this ribosomal RNA (113 nucleotides) under Burkholderiaceae bacterium. Lineage: Bacteria; Pseudomonadati; Pseudomonadota; Betaproteobacteria; Burkholderiales; Burkholderiaceae. The record is from RNAcentral.